GCGGUGGAGUAUGUGGUUAAUUCGAUGCAACGCGAGAACCUUACCUGGUCUUGACAUCCCGGAGACCCUUAGGAAACUAGGGGGUGCUUCCAUCUGGAAGAAUCUGGAGACAGGUGCUGCAUGGCUGUCGUCAGCUCGUGUCGUGAGAUGUUGGGUUAAGUCCCGCAACGAGCGCAACCCUUGCCUUUAGUUGCCAGCAGUUCGGCUGGGCACUCUAAAGGGACUGCCGGUGUUAAACCGGAGGAAGGUGGGGAUGACGUCAAGUCCUCAUGGCCUUUAUGACCAGGGCUACACACGUACUACAAUGGCCGAUACAAAGGGCAGCGACACUGCGAGGUGAAGCCAAUCCCGUAAAAUCGGUCUCAGUCCGGAUUGGAGUCUGCAACUCGACUCCAUGAAGUUGGAAUCGCUAGUAAUCGUGGAUCAGCAUGCCACGGUGAAUACGUUCCCGGGCCUU
RNAcentral lists this ribosomal RNA (457 nucleotides) under uncultured Desulfobulbus sp. RNAcentral's name for it is "bacterial SSU rRNA". It matches the Rfam family "Bacterial small subunit ribosomal RNA", at positions 929 to 1382 of the family's 1533-position model. Lineage: Bacteria; Pseudomonadati; Thermodesulfobacteriota; Desulfobulbia; Desulfobulbales; Desulfobulbaceae. The record is from RNAcentral.